GCGGGCGUUGCUUAGUGGUAAAGCUCCAGCCUUCCAAGCUGGAAUCACGGGUUCGAUUCCCGUCGCCCGCUCCA
RNAcentral lists this transfer RNA (74 nucleotides) under Lentisphaerota bacterium. RNAcentral's name for it is "Lentisphaerae bacterium (hot springs metagenome) tRNA-Gly". It matches the Rfam family "tRNA". From Rfam's summary of the family: Transfer RNA (tRNA) molecules are approximately 80 nucleotides in length. Their secondary structure includes four short double-helical elements and three loops (D, anti-codon, and T loops). The record is from RNAcentral. Lineage: Bacteria; Pseudomonadati; Lentisphaerota.